Molecule: transfer RNA, 77 nt
Filed under: Acidobacteriota bacterium
Lineage: Bacteria; Pseudomonadati; Acidobacteriota
Also listed under: 1 other name
Description: Acidobacteria bacterium (activated sludge metagenome) tRNA-Arg
Rfam family: tRNA
About the family: Transfer RNA (tRNA) molecules are approximately 80 nucleotides in length. Their secondary structure includes four short double-helical elements and three loops (D, anti-codon, and T loops). Further hydrogen bonds mediate the characteristic L-shaped molecular structure. tRNAs have two regions of fundamental functional importance: the anti-codon, which is responsible for specific mRNA codon recognition, and the 3' end, to which the tRNAs corresponding amino acid is attached (by aminoacyl-tRNA synthetases). tRNAs cope with the degeneracy of the genetic code in two manners: having more than one tRNA (with a specific anti-codon) for a particular amino acid; and 'wobble' base-pairing, i.e. permitting non-standard base-pairing at the 3rd anti-codon position.
Source: RNAcentral
AAACUUGUAGCUCACCCGUAGAGCGUCUUGGCCUACGAAGCCAAAUGAGGAAAAUGGUUCAAUUCCAUUCAGGUUUC